This 304-nucleotide long non-coding RNA is filed under the name Elaeis guineensis (African oil palm). RNAcentral describes it as "long non-coding RNA (EGUI_LNC045632)". Lineage: Eukaryota; Viridiplantae; Streptophyta; Magnoliopsida; Arecales; Arecaceae. The record is from RNAcentral.
AUUCGACUAACUACAAGAAUAAAAUAACAGUCUUUUAAAUCCAAUCUAAAACCAGAUGGUAAUUGAAGAGGAUAAGUGCCAACGACUUUUAUAGUAACUUUUGCUCUAUUACCGACCUGAAGGAUCAUAUCAUCUUUCCUCAACUUUCUACUUUCUAUUAGAUCCUACAUUGAAGUACAUAUAUGAGCACUCGAAUCAGAGUCCAAUAUCCAAUUAGAAAUAGAAAAAAACUAUAAGAUUAGAUUCAAUUACGAGCAUACCUUUUAAAGAUUUAUCAUCUUUUUUGGUCUUUAGGCUCUCCAGG